This 222-nucleotide ribosomal RNA is filed under the name uncultured bacterium. RNAcentral's name for it is "partial 16S ribosomal RNA". It matches the Rfam family "Bacterial small subunit ribosomal RNA", at positions 328 to 539 of the family's 1533-position model. The record is from RNAcentral.
ACGCUCGACACCUACAGGAGGCAGCAGUAGGGAAUCUUCCACAAUGGACGCAAGUCUGAUGGAGCAACGCCGCGUGAGUGAAGAAGGUCUUCGGAUCGUAAAACUCUGUUGUUAGAGAAGAACACGAGUGAGAGUAACUGUUCAUUCGAUGACGGUAUCUAACCAGCAAGUCACGGCUAACUACGUCNCGCAGCCGCGGUAAUCUGAGCGGGCUGGCAAGGC